GCCUUCCUUUGUUGGAGCCAGCUCCUCUAAAAUGAAUUAGUAGGGUCUGCUUUGCCGAUCCUUGACGUGAUAAGAUGUUUUCUACGUCUUGGGUUUCGCACUGUUCGCUCUGGAUCCUGCUUCUAACUGUCUCAUAGAAACAAUGGUCAAGUGAUUGCCACUUGACCCACAAACCUUGACCUCAAAUCGGGUGAGACUACCCGCUGAACUUAAGCAUAUCAAUAAGCGGAGGA
Molecule: ribosomal RNA, 233 nt
Filed under: Russula mistiformis
Lineage: Eukaryota; Fungi; Basidiomycota; Agaricomycetes; Russulales; Russulaceae
Description: partial 28S ribosomal RNA
Rfam family: Eukaryotic large subunit ribosomal RNA (bases 177-233)
Source: RNAcentral